UACGUAGGGGGCAAGCGUUGUCCGGAAUUAUUGGGCGUAAAGAGCGUGUAGGCGGUCCGGUAAGUCGGCUGUGAAAGUCCAGGGCUCAACCCUGGGAUGCCGGUCGAUACUGCCGGACUAGAGUUCGGAAGAGGCGAGUGGAAUUCCCGGUGUAGCGGUGAAAUGCGCAGAUAUCAGGAGGAACACCGGUGGCGAAAGCGGCUCACUGGACCGUUUCUGACGCUGAGGUGCGAAAGCUAGGGGAGCAAACGGG
RNAcentral lists this ribosomal RNA (253 nucleotides) under uncultured bacterium. RNAcentral describes it as "partial 16S ribosomal RNA". It matches the Rfam family "Bacterial small subunit ribosomal RNA", at positions 524 to 776 of the family's 1533-position model. The record is from RNAcentral.